This 1316-nucleotide ribosomal RNA is filed under the name uncultured bacterium. Its description in RNAcentral is "bacterial SSU rRNA". It matches the Rfam family "Bacterial small subunit ribosomal RNA", at positions 28 to 1391 of the family's 1533-position model. The record is from RNAcentral.
GAUGAACGCUGGCGGCGUGCUUAACACAUGCAAGUCGAACGAACCUUCGGGUUAGUGGCGGACGGGUGAGUAACGCGUGAGAAUCUGCCCUCAGGAGGGGGAUAACGGUUGGAAACGACCGCUAAUACCCCAUAUGCCGAUAGGUGAAAUGAAUUUCGCCUGAGGAUGAGCUCGCGUCUGAUUAGCUUGUUGGUGAGGUAAUGGCUCACCAAGGCUUCGAUCAGUAGCUGGUCUGAGAGGAUGAUCAGCCACACUGGGACUGAGACACGGCCCAGACUCCUACGGGAGGCAGCAGUGGGGAAUUUUCCGCAAUGGGCGAAAGCCUGACGGAGCAACGCCGCGUGAGGGACGAAGGCCUCUGGGCUGUAAACCUCUUUUCUCAAGGAAGAAGAUAUGACGGUACUUGAGGAAUAAGCCACGGCUAAUUCCGUGCCAGCAGCCGCGGUAAUACGGGAGUGGCAAGCGUUAUCCGGAAUUAUUGGGCGUAAAGCGUCCGCAGGCGGCCUUUCAAGUCUGCUGUUAAAGCGUGGAGCUUAACUCCAUUAUGGCAGUGGAAACUGAUCGGCUUGAGUAUGGUAGGGGCAGAGGGAAUUCCCGGUGUAGCGGUGAAAUGCGCAGAUAUCGGGAAGAACACCAGUGGCGAAGGCGCUCUGCUGGGCCAUUACUGACGCUCAUGGACGAAAGCCAGGGGAGCGAAAGGGAUUAGAUACCCCUGUAGUCCUGGCCGUAAACGAUGAACACUAGGUGUCGGGGGAAUCGACCCCUUCGGUGUCGUAGCUAACGCGUUAAGUGUUCCNNCCUGGGGAGUACGCACGCAAGUGUGAAACUCAAAGGAAUUGACGGGGGCCCGCACAAGCGGUGGAGUAUGUGGUUUAAUUCGAUGCAACGCGAAGAACCUUACCAGGGUUUGACAUCCUGAGAACCUCUUAGAAAUUUGAGGGUGCCUUCGGGAAUUCAGUGACAGGUGGUGCAUGGCUGUCGUCAGCUCGUGUCGUGAGGUGUUGGGUAAAGUCCCGCAACGAGCGCAACCCACGUUUUUAGUUGCCAGCAUUUAGUUGGGCACUCUAGAAAGACCGCCGGUGAUAAACCGGAGGAAGGUGUGGAUGACGUCAAGUCAUCAUGCCCCUUACACCCUGGGCUACACACGUACUACAAUGCUACGGACAAAGGGCAGCAAACUCGCGAGAGCUAGCAAAUCCCAUAAACCGUGGCUCAGUUCAGAUCGUAGGCUGCAACUCGCCUACGUGAAGUAGGAAUCGCUAGUAAUCGCAGGUCAGCAUACUGCGGUGAAUACGUUCCCGGGCCUUGUACACACC